This 1384-nucleotide ribosomal RNA is filed under the name uncultured bacterium. Its description in RNAcentral is "bacterial SSU rRNA". It matches the Rfam family "Bacterial small subunit ribosomal RNA", at positions 8 to 1348 of the family's 1533-position model. The record is from RNAcentral.
AGAGUUUGAUUCUGGCUCAAGAUGAACGCCGGCGGUGUGCCUAAUACAUGCAAGUCGUACGCACUGGCCCAACUGAUUGAUGGUGCUUGCACCUGAUUGACGAUGGAUCACCAGUGAGUGGCGGACGGGUGAGUAACACGUAGGUAACCUGCCUCGGAGCGGGGGAUAACAUUUCGGAAACAGAUGCUAAUACCGCAUAACAACAAAAGCCACAUGGCUUUUGUUUGAAAGAUGGCUUUGGCUAUCACUCUGGGAUGGACCUGCGGUGCAUUAGCUAGUUGGUAAGGUAACGGCUUACCAAGGCAAUGAUGCAUAGCCGAGUUGAGAGACUGAUCGGCCACAAUGGAACUGAGACACGGUCCAUACUCCUACGGGAGGCAGCAGUAGGGAAUCUUCCACAAUGGGCGCAAGCCUGAUGGAGCAACACCGCGUGAGUGAAGAAGGGUUUCGGCUCGUAAAGCUCUGUUGUUGGAGAAGAACGUGCGUGAGAGUAACUGUUCACGCAGUGACGGUAUCCAACCAGAAAGUCACGGCUAACUACGUGCCAGCAGCCGCGGUAAUACGUAGGUGGCAAGCGUUAUCCGGAUUUAUUGGGCGUAAAGCGAGCGCAGGCGGUUGCUUAGGUCUGAUGUGAAAGCCUUCGGCUUAACCGAAGAAGUGCAUCGGAAACCGGGCGACUUGAGUGCAGAAGAGGACAGUGGAACUCCAUGUGUAGCGGUGGAAUGCGUAGAUAUAUGGAAGAACACCAGUGGCGAAGGCGGCUGUCUGGUCUGCAACUGACGCUGAGGCUCGAAAGCAUGGGUAGCGAACAGGAUUAGAUACCCUGGUAGUCCAUGCCGUAAACGAUGAGUGCAAGGUGUGAGAGGGGUUCAGACCUUCAGUGCCGGAGCUUAGGCAAUAAGCAUUCCGCCUGGGGUGUACGGCUGCAGGGUUGAAAUUAAAAGGAAUUGUCGGGGGCCCGCUCAGCGGGGGGAGCAUGUGGUUAAUUUCGAAGCUACGCGAAGAACCUUACCAGGUCUUGACAUGUUGCGCUAACCUUAGAGAUAAGGCGUUCCCUUCGGGGACGCAAUGACAGGUGGUGCAUGGUCGUCGUCAGCUCGUGUCGUGAGAUGUUGGGUUAAGUCCCGCAACGAGCGCAACCCUUGUUUCUAGUUGCCAGCAUUAAGUUGGGCACUCUAGUGAGACUGCCGGUGACAAACCGGAGGAAGGUGGGGACGACGUCAGAUCAUCAUGCCCCUUAUGACCUGGGCUACACACGUGCUACAAUGGACGGUACAACGAGUCGCAAGCUCGCGAGAGUAAGCUAAUCUCUUAAAGCCGUUCUCAGUUCGGACUGUAGGCUGCAACUCGCCUACACGAAGUCGGAAUCGCUAGUAAUCGCGGA